AGUGAACGCUGGCGGUAGGCCUAACACAUGCAAGUCGAACGGCAGCACAGUAAGAGCUUGCUCUUACGGGUGGCGAGUGGCGGACGGGUGAGGAAUACAUCGGAAUCUACUUUUUCGUGGGGGAUAACGUAGGGAAACUUACGCUAAUACCGCAUACGACCUACGGGUGAAAGCAGGGGAUCUUCGGACCUUGCGCGAUUGAAUGAGCCGAUGUCGGAUUAGCUAGUUGGCGGGGUAAAGGCCCACCAAGGCGACGAUCCGUAGCUGGUCUGAGAGGAUGAUCAGCCACACGGGAACUGAGACACGGUCCAGGCUCCUACGGGAGGCAGCAGUGGGGAAUAUUGGACAAGGGGCGCAAGCCUGAUCCAGCCAUACCGCGUGGGUGAAGAAGGCCUUCGGGUUGUAAAGCCCUUUUGUUGGGAAAGAAAAGCAGCAGGUUAAUACCCCGCUGUUCUGACGGUACCCAAAGAAUAAGCACCGGCUAACUUCGUG
This 492-nucleotide ribosomal RNA is filed under the name uncultured bacterium. RNAcentral's name for it is "partial 16S ribosomal RNA". It matches the Rfam family "Bacterial small subunit ribosomal RNA", at positions 29 to 507 of the family's 1533-position model. The record is from RNAcentral.